GACGAACGCUGGCGGCGUGCUUAACACAUGCAAGUCGAACGGAAAGGCCCUGCUUUUGUGGGGUGCUCGAGUGGCGAACGGGUGAGUAACACGUGAGUAACCUGCCCUUGACUUUGGGAUAACUUCAGGAAACUGGGGCUAAUACCGGAUAGGAGCUCCUGCUGCGUGGUGGGGGUUGGAAAGUUUCGGCGGUUGGGGAUGGACUCGCGGCUUAUCAGCUUGUUGGUGGGGUAGUGGCUUACCAAGGCUUUGACGGGUAGCCGGCCUGAGAGGGUGACCGGCCACAUUGGGACUGAGCUACGGCCCAGACUCCUACGGGAGGCAGCAGUGGGGAAUAUUGCACAAUGGGCGGAAGCCUGAUGCAGCAACGCCGCGUGCGGGAUGACGGCCUUCGGGUUGUAAACCGCUUUCGCCUGUGACGAAGCGUGAGUGACGGUAAUGGGUAAAGAAGCACCGGCUAACUACGUG
This 468-nucleotide ribosomal RNA is filed under the name uncultured bacterium. RNAcentral describes it as "partial 16S ribosomal RNA". It matches the Rfam family "Bacterial small subunit ribosomal RNA", at positions 28 to 507 of the family's 1533-position model. The record is from RNAcentral.